This 433-nucleotide ribosomal RNA is filed under the name uncultured bacterium. RNAcentral describes it as "partial 16S ribosomal RNA". It matches the Rfam family "Bacterial small subunit ribosomal RNA", at positions 29 to 507 of the family's 1533-position model. The record is from RNAcentral.
AACGAACGCUGGCGGCAUGCCUAACACAUGCAAGUCGAACGAGACCUUCGGGUCUAGUGGCGCACGGGUGCGUAACGCGUGGGAACCUGCCCUUAGGUUCGGAAUAACUCCCCGAAAGGGGUGCUAAUACCGGAUAAUGUCUUCGGACCAAAGCUUUAUCGCCUUUGGAUGGGCCCGCGUUUGUUUAGCUAGUUGGUAGGGUAAAAGCCUGCCAAGGCGACGAUCCAUAGCUGGUCUGAGAGGAUGAUCAGCCACACUGGGACUGAGACACGGCCCAGACUCCUACGGGAGGCAGCAGUGGGGAAUAUUGGGCAGUGGGCGAAAGGCUGAGACAGCGAUGCCGCGUGGGUGAUGAAGGCCUUGGGGUUGUAAAGCUCUUUUAACCGGGAUGAUAAUGACAGUACCGGGAGAAUAAGCUCCGGCUAACUCCGUG